Molecule: ribosomal RNA, 254 nt
Filed under: uncultured bacterium
Lineage: Bacteria
Description: partial 16S ribosomal RNA
Rfam family: Bacterial small subunit ribosomal RNA
Source: RNAcentral
UACGUAGGGUGCAAGCGUUGUCCGGAAUUAUUGGGCGUAAAGAGCUCGUAGGCGGUCUGUCACGUCGGCUGUGAAAUCCCCGAGGCUCAACCUCGGGUCUGCAGUCGAUACGGGCAAACUAGAGUAUUGCAGGGGAGACUGGAAUUCCUGGUGUAGCGGUGAAAUGCGCAGAUAUCAGGAGGAACACCGGUGGCGAAGGCGGGUCUCUGGGCAAUAACUGACGCUGAGGAGCGAAAGCGUGGGGAGCGAACAGG